Long non-coding RNA from Eriocheir sinensis (Chinese mitten crab), 344 nucleotides. RefSeq lists it as uncharacterized. Lineage: Eukaryota; Metazoa; Arthropoda; Malacostraca; Decapoda; Varunidae. The transcript is spliced from 2 exons. The record is from RefSeq and is a predicted model, not a curated record.
CCUCCCCUCAUCAUCAUGGUCAUCAUCACCUCCACCAGGUCACUGUCUCCAAGAUCUCCUCCUCCUUCAUCGGGAAAAGCUGGGUGAGGCUGCGGGGGUCUCGGUGACGGAGGUGGGGGCGGGGGCGUGUCCUGAGGGGGCGGCAGCUGGAUGUGCAGGCGGGUGUGUGCUGCGGGCGGGGCUCAGCGAACACUUUGUCUUGGUGGCCGCAAACACCUCGUCCAUCGUGGGGCCGCAGCUCAGCCUCCGCCCGGCCUGCAGCUGUGGGGCAGCGGCGGCGGCGGAGGAGGGGGAGGAAGAAGAGGAGCAGAAGAAGAAAUAACACAACCACACACACACACACA